UACGUAGGGGGCAAGCGUUGUCCGGAAUCAUUGGGCGUAAAGAGCGUGUAGGCGGCCCGAUAAGUCCGCUGUGAAAGUCCAGGGCUCAACCCUGGGAUGCCGGUGGAUACUGUCGGGCUCGAGUCCGGAAGAGGAGUGUGGAAUUCCUGGUGUAGCGGUGAAAUGCGCAGAUAUCAGGAGGAACACCAAUGGCGAAGGCAGCACUCUGGGACGUGACUGACGCUGAGACGUGAAAGCGUGGGGAGCAAACAGG
This 253-nucleotide ribosomal RNA is filed under the name uncultured bacterium. Its description in RNAcentral is "partial 16S ribosomal RNA". It matches the Rfam family "Bacterial small subunit ribosomal RNA", at positions 524 to 776 of the family's 1533-position model. The record is from RNAcentral.